Molecule: long non-coding RNA, 2514 nt
Organism: Poecile atricapillus (Black-capped chickadee)
Lineage: Eukaryota; Metazoa; Chordata; Aves; Passeriformes; Paridae
Exons: 3
Source: RefSeq, a predicted model, not a curated record
GGAAGGGCAGAGGAAAACCGCUGAGGGGAAAAUGCCGGUUAAAAAGACAGACCACCACCCCCUGCUGUCCACCGGAGCUGGGGGAGCUGAGCCUGAGCGAGGUCCUUGUAACCUGUCUGCCACAGGUUUGUUACAGAACUGGACAGUUUGACUCCUGAAGCAGACCAAUGGGACCACACAAGCCUGAGUUUCUGAACUUCGGGUAAAAGGAUGGGUUCAAAGGUGUGGAGUGGAAUCCUUGUUUCCUGAGUAGCCCUGGAAAUUAUCUCAUCGCCCUAUUUAAAAUUUAUUUGUGUUGCUUUUGUGAUCCAUACACAUAUCUCAGUGAUCAACAUAAAUAUUUUGCUGCACAUAUUUGAACUUCCAGCCAGUUUACUGGAAAAAUGUCAUCAGAGCUAAUGUCCCUGUUCCCUGAGGAAUGUAAAUUCUGCAGUUAGGUUUCUAAAGCAAAUCACAAAUGUUCAUUCUAGCCACUUCACAGAACUGUUCUGCAGGAUUUGGGUAGAAUUUACCCUGAAGCAGAAAAGCUUUUCCAUAAAAAGUUCACUGUGCUGUUUGCUGUGAAGACCAAGCAUGAUCAAGAUGGAGAAGUGGGGUUGAUGUUCUGAAAACAGUGAAUGAGAAUUUGCUGAAAAAUUACAGCAAUUUUCCUGAAACCACAGAUACCAUGGAAUCAUGGAGUGGUUUUGGUUGGAAGGGACCUUUAAGGAUCAUCAAGUUCCAACCCCCUACCAUGGGCAGGGACACCUGCUACUGUCCCAGGUUGCUCAGAGCCACAUCCAGCCUGGCCUUGGACACUUCCAGGGAUGGGGCAGUCACAGCUUCUAGAGAAUUGAUUUCCAAAUGCCAAUUGCAAUAGGCAUUGAACAAUAAAUAACAGUGACAAUAAUUGCUGUUAAUAUUAGUCCAACUAAUAUAAUUACACAGGAUAUUUUUUUUUUUUAAUUGUUUUUCAUUAUGUGAGCCACUGAUUUUUGCCUCCAGUUCAAAACUUGAUCUAAUUCCAGGAAUGCCUCAAAACAUUCACUAUAUCUUUUCUGCUGGGAAAAAAAAAAAAACUCUCAACUUACUGUUAGCUCUCUGCUCCAAAAAUAAAAUGUACAGUACGUAACAAAUUUGGUCUGACAGCAUUUUCCCAGCUGGAAGGAUGGAACUUCUUAAUUGGUGUAUAAAUAAAUAGUGGUUUGAUCCUGCUCUUAAAUAUAUAUUAAAAAAAGAAUUUUGGCCUUGCCUCUAGUAUGCAUAGGAACAGUUCUUCCUUUCUAACAGAAACAGUAAAAGAAAAGGACUCUUCACUGAGCCAAAUUUAAAAACUAAGUAUAAAGUCUAAACAUGCUGAAAUAAAGUCCUGCUGCUGCUGUUGAGGAAGGCCCAUGAAGCUCCCUGUGUCUCUUGACAUGUGGUUUCCAUACCACUUUAUUUCAUAAAUCAUCAUUUCUAAUUGCUUUAAAGUUUGACAUGAGAACCUAAAGUGUUAUUGAAUCAUCAAAUAAAUAGCUGUUUAGCAAGAAGAUGUUCCUAUGAAUUGAGGUUUACCUUGUGUUUUCAGGGUAAAGGAAGUGAUAAUUUUGAUGGGGAGUUCAUUCAGAAUAACUGUGUGGUUUUAACUUUUUCUACUUGGCAGUAAAUUGAAACUAAAUGUAGACACCAAUCUGCAAAUCCAGAAACUAGAAGAGGGGCGAGCACGUUGGUCCAAACCUAUAAAAUAUGUUAAUUUGCUCCUCAGGUGCAAUAUGAGGCAUCCUGAGGCUCUGAAAUAGUCAUUCCUAGUGUACCUGAACACUCCAGGUGCGUUGCUUGGUUGAAGUUCCCUUGGCACUGGAGUUUUUACAGUAGGAGACAUGCAGCAAAUGCCCCUAUCCUGAAGCUUCUCACCCCAGCUCAUGUCAGCUCUGAGUCCAAACCAGAAUGAUCCUCAGAAUCCAAGAGCCUGACCUUUCUGGGAUGUGUCUUCUUUUUCCUCAUAGUCAACAAUUCAUCUCGAGAAAGGAGAAGGUCUGUUUGGGGAAAAGUGGGAGAAAUCUAAAACACAUCUCCUAGCUCCUGAAAAAGGACAGCCCCAUCAAAACCAGCCAGUAAACAUCUUGCUUCCUGGCCCCAUCUGCGUGCAGCACACACACCAGAGGAUUUGAAAAGCUCUCCCUGCCAGGAUAUGAGAUAAACGUGUCAUUAGGGAACUCCCUUCUUCUGUUUCUGUGGAGCUGGCACACCUUUGAUUAAAAUACUUCAGUUUAAAGCACAGUGCACCAGUCUGGGCGUGUAAUAUUUGUACGGAGCUUAAGAUGGUCCUGCCAUAACACUUCUGUCUCCCCCAUUGUGCAAAGUUGGACCAGAAAUCUCAUGAGAAUGAGCUUACUCAUGAGAUAGCUGCUAAUUCUGGCUUCCAGUUAUGCUGUAAAUAGUAUGAGAACUGCCUUUCUAGCAGUUUUAGGGAAUUUGGCUCCCAGCCAUUGCUAGAAAAGCCCAAGCUGUGACCUAAGUAAAAAGCACGGGGGAAAGAAAAAUGUUCCAGAU